This 440-nucleotide long non-coding RNA is filed under the name Citrus sinensis (sweet orange). Its description in RNAcentral is "long non-coding RNA (CSIN_LNC001873)". The record is from RNAcentral. Lineage: Eukaryota; Viridiplantae; Streptophyta; Magnoliopsida; Sapindales; Rutaceae.
UAUGGUUGGUUAACUUGCAUUUUUGCUGUAUUUUGUAAGACUAUUAUGAAUUAUUACUAUGAUUGCUUGGUUUUUUAAAAGAAUGUUCCUUCUUCAACUCGGCUGUAGCAACUGCUGUCAGGGGAUAUUGUCUCCUAACUGCAGUCAAAAACUUCAAUUUGAUAGUUUUUGACUGCUUUUUUUUUUUUUGUUUUGUGGAAUAAUCCUUUGCAAAUUUUGUUUCAGGUCACUGAAUGCCACUUGGUCACAGAUGUUUUGUGGAAUAAUCCUUUGCAAAUUUCAAUUUGAUAGUUUUUGACUGCUUUUUUUUUUUUUGUUUUGUGGAAUAAUCCUUUGCAAAUUUUGUUUCAGGUCACUGAAUGCCACUUGGUCACAGAUCCUCGCACCAGAGAAUCCCGUGGUUUUGCAUUUGUUACUAUGGAAACUGUUGAGGGUGCUGA